This is a long non-coding RNA of Erinaceus europaeus (western European hedgehog), 294 nucleotides long. RefSeq lists it as uncharacterized. The transcript is spliced from 3 exons. Lineage: Eukaryota; Metazoa; Chordata; Mammalia; Eulipotyphla; Erinaceidae. The record is from RefSeq and is a predicted model, not a curated record.
GGGGUCAGCACAUCCAGAGUGCAUUGGACAAGCCUCUCACCAUGGGAAACCACCUUCAGGAUCAUGGUAUCACUUCUGCCAUUGUCACAGAGGCUUCUCAUUGGGAGACCAGGAGGUGAGACACCACACGCUGUGCUGCUAUCUGUGGGUGUAUGAAGAGUGGAAUGUGCUCUGGAAAUGGAAAGACAUUGUUAUUCAUCCUCCAAGUGACAAUCAAGUGUUCAGCAGCUGGGACUUGCUGAGACACAGCACCAAUAGCUACUUUUGUUGCAUUCCCACAAAAUAUUUGGUAUG